This 465-nucleotide ribosomal RNA is filed under the name uncultured bacterium. RNAcentral's name for it is "partial 16S ribosomal RNA". It matches the Rfam family "Bacterial small subunit ribosomal RNA", at positions 338 to 795 of the family's 1533-position model. The record is from RNAcentral.
CCUACGGGGCGCAGCAGUGGGGAAUAUUGCGCAAUGGGCGAAAGCCUGACGCAGCGACGCCGCGUGAGGGAUGAAGGCCUUCGGAUCGUAAACCUCUGUUUGCAGGGAAGUACGGUCCCUGUGCUAAUCAGCAGUGCAUUGACGGUACCUGCAAUGGACGCACCGGCUAACUCCGUGCCAGCAGCCGCUGUAAUACGGAGGGUGCGAGCGUUAAUCGGAAUUACUGGGCGUACAGCGCUCGUAGGCGGUAUGUCAAGUCAAUGGUGAAAUCCCCGCGCUGAACGUGGGAACUGCCUUUGAAACUGGCAGACUGGAGUGUGUGAGAGGAGAGUGGAAUUCCAGGUGUAGGAGUGAAAUCCGUAGAUAUCAGGAGGAACAUCAGUGGCGAAGGCGACUAACUGGCACAUAACUGACGCUGAGGAGCGAAAGUGUGGGUAGCAAACAGGAUUAGAUACCCCUGUAGUC